AUUGAACGCUGGCGGCAGGCCUAACACAUGCAAGUCGAGCGAGCGGCGGACGGGUGAGUAAUGUAUGGGGACUGCCCGAUAGCGGGGGAUAACUAAUGGAAACGGUGGCUAAUUCCGCCUACUUUAGGAUGACCCAUAUGGGUUUAGCUAGUAGGUGGGGUAAAGGCACACCUAGGCGACGAUCUCUAGCUGGUCUGAGAGGAUGAUCAGACACACUGGGACUGAGACACGGCCCAGACUCCUACGGAGGCAGCAGUGGGAAAUAUUGGACAAUGGGCGCAAGCCUGUUGCAGCCAUGCCGCGUGUAUGAAGAAGGUCUUAGGGUUGUAAAGUACUUUAAGCGGGGAGGCGUUAACCGCAGAAUAAGCACCGGCUAACUCCGUGCCAGCAGCAGCGGUAAUUC
Molecule: ribosomal RNA, 403 nt
Filed under: uncultured bacterium
Lineage: Bacteria
Description: partial 16S ribosomal RNA
Rfam family: Bacterial small subunit ribosomal RNA
Source: RNAcentral